UACGUAGGGGGCAAGCGUUGUCCGGAAUCAUUGGGCGUAAAGCGCGCGUAGGCGGCCCGGUAAGUCCGCUGUAAAAGUCAAAGGCUCAACCUUUGAAUGCCGGUGGAUACUGUCGGGCUAGAGUCCGGAAGAGGCGAGUGGAAUUCCUGGUGUAGCGGUGGAAUGCGCAGAUAUCAGGAGGAACACCGAUGGCGAAGGCAGGUCUCUGGGCCACUACUGACGCUGAGAAGCGAAAGCAUGGGGAGCGAACAGG
Molecule: ribosomal RNA, 253 nt
Filed under: uncultured bacterium
Lineage: Bacteria
Description: partial 16S ribosomal RNA
Rfam family: Bacterial small subunit ribosomal RNA
Source: RNAcentral